UCCAGGAGAAAAUUGCCAGGGCCGAAUUUUGUUCCCAGUCCGACCCUGCUCAAGCAUGAAUGAGUUUGUAAGUUAGGCUACGAUGUACAUAGACGGAAUAUGAUUAUUCUAAAGUUUCACUUGUAAGUAGCCUUCAGUUUAACAUAUUUAUCUAACACUGUAUAUCUUUCUUCUAUUUCUGUUAGGUGCCGCUUCACUCAACUGGAUGGUCAGGCUGACUGCAACCGUAGGCCUACUGAAUAGAUGGCAGGGAAGAUGCCCGAUGCCGAAGCACCACUAUUGAAAAAGCUGUUGGUAGCAUCGGCUAACUAGCGCCAGAUUUUGGAGUGCAGGGGACAAGCCCAGAUGGGCUAUGAGACAUACGUUCACACUCGGUGCCGCUUCACUCAACUGGAUGGUCAGGCUGACUGCAACCGUAGGCCUACUGAAUAGAUGGCAGGGAAGCACAGCACACGGGAAUUUAUAAAUGAAGAAGAGUGAAUAAAUGCACUUGCUUUUCAAACUGAUAA
This is a long non-coding RNA of Alosa sapidissima (American shad), 509 nucleotides long. RefSeq lists it as uncharacterized. The record is from RefSeq and is a predicted model, not a curated record. The transcript is spliced from 2 exons. NCBI's taxonomy places the organism in Eukaryota, Metazoa, Chordata, Actinopteri, Clupeiformes, Clupeidae.